CCAACCCGCAGAAGCUUCGAAAACGGCCCAAAAACCACGACAGAGGCAGCAAAGCCGUAUCGACUCUGGGAACGAUUCCAGAGCCAACCUCCUGUUUCGUGAAAAACUGGCGCGAAUACGGCUCUCCGGCGACCAUUUUCGCCGGAAUCUCAUAUUUCUAGAUUUGCUUCGGCUGCCGAGCAAUUCGGUAACAACAAAAUUGAUUAGAAAUGAAUUUCUAUGCUCAUGACCUGUCUCCGUUGGAUUUUAAUUUUGGCCACUCCGAAUCGUACGGCCAGUCAUUCUCUCGCCUUCGCGCUUCGUCCGCUAUUUCUUCAAAUGUCUUCCUCGAUGAAGACGACGACGUUUACCGUCCUAGCUGGACUGCAAGAAAUAAGGAAGAAAUGCCCACCGGCUGCCCCCCCAAUCGCCGGCAUGACGGUUCGUCGCCUCUUCCAUUGGGAAUGGACUGGAGCCCCCCUCCUCAGAAAUGGGUUGGACAGGGCACGCUGUGGCCUCAUGAUCCACCUACUGGAUGGAGUUAUUGUGUCACGAUUCCUUCUUGGACGACAAUUCCCAAAUCAAAUGGUUCAGUUCCUGUGGUGUUUUACACGGUUCAAGUUGGACUGCAAUCCCCACAAGGUAUCACCUCUACAAGAGGAAUAUCAAGAAGAUUUAAUGUGUUUCUAGAGCUAUUUUACGAGCUCAAAAGAACAUUGCCCGAGAAACAUUUGCCUCCAGCUCCUUCAAAAAUGGUUUUGAGAAUGAAAAACAGUACAUUUCACGAUGAACGGAGGUCUUCCUUGGAGGAAUGGAUGGAAAAGAUUCUGUCAGACAUUGACGUUUCGAGAAGUGUUCCAGUGGCAAGUUUUCUUGAACUGGAAGCUGCUGUGAGAUCUUUUUUCAGUGAUGUUGAUCACCAGACAUCUGAUGAGGUUUCUUCUAAUAGUAUCAUGGUCCAACCAAUUACGCUAACAAGCUCAACUGUGCCUAUUGCUGCUGCUUCUUCUGUUGCCUCCAGUCCACGUGAUGAUAUUUGUUAUGGGGGACCUGAACUUGGAACUCUAAGACAUGGAGAUGAUGAGGAUGCAGAAUUGGGAAUGGAUAAACUUGCAUCGGAAAAAGCUGGAACAGACCUGGAAAAUCCGGUUGUAAGAUCGAACGAAGACGUUUCCAUGAGACGAUUGCUUGCAUCAAAGGAUGAACAGGUGCCCAUGGAAUCGACAAUAAUGUCAAUUUUAGAGGAGAACAAAUUUUUACUGCAAGAGUUGGAUGCUUCAAGAGAACAGCUCGAGUACUUGCAAAAACAAUAUGAAGAGUUUGUGACGAAAUCAAAGGCAGAUGUUGAGUUGUUUAUCAAAGAAAUUAAAUCUCUUCGAGAUACACAGUUAGACAUGAAGCAGGAGUGCAGCCAAUUGACGAAGGAGAAAUCAGAAUUAGAGAGGGUAUUUCAAACUGAAAGACAGAGAAUGGAGCAAGCCAAGAUUGCUAAUCAAAAGCUUCUUCAUGAUUGUGAAAUUCUUCAAUACCGUCUUCAAGACUCUAGUGUUGACUUCUUCAUUGAGGAAGGAGAUAAAGUAAUCUUGGAAACUGCUUCGACUGCUCAUGAUGCUAUGGAUCUAUUGGCGACAUCUGAUAAUCACAUUAGCCUUAUUUUAGCAGAGGCGAAGCUUCGUGCACACGAUGCAGAUGGCACGGCUGGAUCAGCCAGUCCAAAUGGGGCACGUGAAGGAGCACCUGACAAAGUAUUAAGAAACAUACUGGCAGAUAUGUUCGUCGAAAAUGCGCGAUUACGGACACAGGUGAACUCUGUCAUUCGCUGUGCUCUAAAUGCAAAUCCGACCCAUGAGAAAGAUGAAAAUGAAUCUCUCUUGGGAGUGUAAGAAAUUGUUGUAUGUAUGGGCCUUCUUCUGUAGUGACAAGAACAGGGGAGCUUGCUCUUGAUCAGUCUCUUCAUGGCAAAGGGGGAAGUUCAUGAACAGAAACAGAAUGAAGUAAAUGCUCAAAUGGACGAUGGGAUUCUUUUGGGAGUUUUAAAAUCUGAGUUUGAAAAGAAAAAAGUAGACUGUUGUUUGAAGGUUGAGUAUAAAUGAAGUGAUGUAUUUUAUUUAGAUCAAGUAUGUGUUAUAGUUCGGGUUCGAUCCA
Molecule: non-coding RNA, 2124 nt
Organism: Cucurbita pepo subsp. pepo (vegetable marrow)
Lineage: Eukaryota; Viridiplantae; Streptophyta; Magnoliopsida; Cucurbitales; Cucurbitaceae
Source: RefSeq, a predicted model, not a curated record